GGCCUGGCUGGGCCGCGGCGAGACUGGGCCCCGGCCCCGGCGCCGGGAGGUGGCGCCGCCCCGCGCCCAUGGCAACGGCGCCGGGCCUCCCUGCCGCCGCUGCUGCUGCCGCCGCUGGCGGGCGGGCGGGCCGGCCGACACGAUGUCCUGGCUGCCCGAGCCCCCCGCCUCACGGGCGCCCUCUCGCUCCCCGGCCCUGUCGCCGGCCCCCGGCCCCUCUCGCUGCGGCGGGGAGCGGCGCAGGAACGCCUUGGACGCCGGUGCGGGUCUCGGCACCGUCCAGGAUAGACAGUUAAGAUCGGUGGAUCUGAAUCAUGUCAUCAGACUACUCGAAGAUUCAGACUCGAAAGAUUUGGAAACAGAGCAGCUGAAGACUCUCAAGAAGGUAGUCAAGCAUUUUGAAAAUGGGUUUCCACUUAGGGAUUUAGCACAAGUAAUCGAAAUUCUUAACCUGUGUGCAGAAAAAACAACUGAACAAGAAGCUUUCACUGAGCCUUUAUGUGAACUUAUUAAAUUAUGUGGGUUACCAUUUCAGAAAAAGAAAUUAUCUGAUGAAGUAAGCUAUUCCGUGGCAGUUUCAAAAUCCAUUGCACAACUGGGUUAUUUGAUGAGGGUGCCAAGCUCUCAAGUUAGAAUACAAAUCUGUAAGUGUGUUGUUAGCUUUUAUAAUAUGGAGCUACCAAGAAAACUACUUUCAGGUUACCAGCCAACAAGUGCAAACUAUAAAAUUCAAAUGGCUGAAUUAGGGGGAUUGGCAGAGACUCUCGUUUUGUCACUAGCAUUAGUUGAAAAUCAGCUUACUGAGAAGUUGUGGGUACUCAAAGCUCUCCAGCAUCUCUCCAGCUCUGGAGUAAAUUGCAGACUUAUGAUGAAGGCCCAAGCAGCCAGCAGGCUCUGUUUGUAUCUAAAUGGUGUCGAUCCGUCAGGACAGCUGGUGUUCCGCUCCUCAGAAAUCCUGUGGAACCUGCUAGAAAACACAUCAAAAGAAGAAGUCAUUAAUCAGCUCAGUAGCUUGGAGUGUGUACAUGCUUUGAAAGAAGUAUUUGUAGACCUUCUCGUGCAUGGUUUCCGGCAUUAUGAUCGUCAGCUACGGAAUGACCUCUUGGUGAUUGCCACAUUACUAGCUGAAAACCCUGCAGCACCUAUGAUUGAAAGUGGAUUUGCAAAGCUGUUAAUAGUUCUUGCAACAUUUACUGAAGUUAAAAUUCCCAAUCCCUUGGUAAAAGGUCUUAAACUUACCUACUCUUCUGAGGACUUCGAGAUGAAGAAGUUACUAUUUAAUGUAAUAGGAGUCUUAUCUAAAGACCCCUGUGCUGUACAGCUUCUCAGUGAAAAUGAUGUGAUGCCAGCUUUGCUUUAUUAUGUAAAACCAAAUAAGAAACGUGGAUUUCAUGACUGGUCCGCUGCCCAGUAUGAAGAAUUACAGCUUCAUGCAAUUGCUAUUUUAGCUUCAGUGGCUCCCUUGCUAGUAGAUAAAUAUUUGUCCUGCCAAGCGAACACUCUUCUCCUUAUGUUUCUAGAAUGGUGUAUAGGCCAAGAUCCUUUCUUUGGUGAAGGUAACAGUUUCCAUGGAACAGGUGGUCGUGGCAACAAACUUGCACAAAUGCGCUACAGCCUGAGAGUGCUGAGAUCUGUUGUGUCCCUUUAUGAUGAUGCUGUGAACAUUAAUUUGUGUGACCAGGGAGCAAUUAGCCAGCUACUGGACAUCCUGAAGUAUGCAGCAAACAAAUCUAAAGAGAAAGAAGAUGCCAUUCUACUGGAAAUCGAAGCUGAUAUAUUAUUUAUUUUGUCUGCUCUCUGUGAAAAUGAUCUCCACAGAAAGGAACUCUUCAGCUAUGAAGGAGUGGAUAUACUUAUCCCAUUCAUUCGGAUGGAUCCAAAGAAGUUACAUAGUGGAUUAGGCCACAAUCAUCUCCUCUUCAGUGCACUUGACUGCUUGUGGUCCUGUGUCAUUGGAUGUUACAUUGCAGAGGAUUAUUUUCUUGAAAAACAUGGCAUUUUUCUCCUUCUGGAUUUGUUGGCAGUAAAGCAAAAGAGCCUGUGCAAUAUAAUUCUUGGAAUCUUGGUUGAAUUUUGUGACAACCCUAAAACCACUUCACACAUCAGUACCUGGCGAGGGGAGAAAGAUCAAACAGCAGCUAACCUUCUAAUACAAUUAUGGAGACAGGAGGAAUUGGAGCUAGGAGUCAAACGUGAUCAAUAUGGAAGGAUUGUAGACAUGAAGAGACCUGUUGCUAGCAGCUUCCAGAAACAGCAAGAGGUCAUCCCCAUGCCUGCCAACUGUCCUAGCUUUGCCAUCAUGGAAGUUUCAGAAAACAUACGGGCAAAACUUUAUUCACUACUGUGCAAGCUCGGUUUUGAAAAUUUACCUGGCUUAUCUGCUAAGGAUUUUGUCACGCUUGCUAUCAUACGGCGUUAUAUUGACUUUAAAGUUGGAGAAGUUUGGAGUGAACUGUGUGCAGAACUAAAAGAAGAAUUCAGGCCUGUUGAGUCAGAUGAGGAAGCCUUGAAAGUUAUUUCAGAGAUAUCAGAAAAUACUGGAAGAAUGAUUGCUGCUCUGCAGACUGAAGUGCUUGAAAGUCAACAUCACCAAGAAAUCCAAGAGGAGGAGAAAACAUAUGCAAAGGUAAGACAAGGAGUAUUUAAACAAGUAAAGCCCAUGUAAAGCUUUUUUGUCAACCUGUAUGAAGAUUUUCCCAUUAUAUAAUGUUGAGAAUUCUGUAUGGGUACACUGAAGAUAUAUUAAUCUGUCUCAGCAGUAAAAUUUUAACUUUAAAUUAAAUUAGGUUAACCUCAGUUCUCCCAGUUUGUAUAAUAUUGCCAAUAUUUAGAGAGUAACAUGAAAAAAUGAAGCAGUAUCAUCAGUGACGCAUCAGCAAUAGUGUAAUGAGAAAUGAUCAUUAUGUUACUGUAAGAGCUGCACUUGUGUUCAUCUGUAGCAGGUAGCAAUUUAAAGUACCUAUUACAACUACAUCUGCUUCUUAAAAUGAAACACAAGCCUCUGUUAUAAGCUCCCCUGGCUGAAUAUUCUCAAAGCUUCAUUACUUCACAAAGCAGGGCUUUGUGCUUCCCAGCAUGCUGAGAGUGAGCAGGUAUAGAUGUUUUCCAACUUUGGUUAUAAGGCAAGCAUUUGGCAUUUUUGCUCAUCUACUGCCUCAUCCUCUCUUGCUCUCUGAGAAGUAAGAACAAUUGGUCCAGUUGUCUAAACUCUCAUGCUAGUGUUUUUGAGGGGUUGUCAUGCAUUAUGAUGCCUGCACUUUUGUCACCAGAACUGAUUCCAUCUCUGUUAUUCAGCAUUAGAGUGACAAUAUACAGAAAGUAUUCCUGAAAGAGUUGGUACUCUUCCAACAUCUGUUUUGGAAGAGAGGAAAAUUUGUUGCAACAGAGAAGAUCCAAGCUAUCCAUAAGCAGAGAGAAAUUGUAAAUAAAUCUUGGGAAAAUUUCUUGGCUCGGACAUCAAACUACGAGGCAUUGAAG
Molecule: non-coding RNA, 3477 nt
Organism: Phalacrocorax carbo (great cormorant)
Lineage: Eukaryota; Metazoa; Chordata; Aves; Suliformes; Phalacrocoracidae
Source: RefSeq, a predicted model, not a curated record